RNAcentral lists this ribosomal RNA (253 nucleotides) under uncultured bacterium. RNAcentral describes it as "partial 16S ribosomal RNA". It matches the Rfam family "Bacterial small subunit ribosomal RNA", at positions 524 to 776 of the family's 1533-position model. The record is from RNAcentral.
UACGGAGGGUGCAAGCGUUAUCCGGAUUCACUGGGCUUAAAGGGCGCGUAGGCGGGCUGGCAAGUCCGUGGUGAAAUCUCUGAGCUUAACUCAGAAACUGCCAUGGAUACUAUUUGUCUUGAAUAUUGUGGAGGUAAGCGGAAUAUGUCAUGUAGCGGUGAAAUGCUUAGAUAUGACAUAGAACACCAAUUGCGAAGGCAGCUUACUAGACAGUUAUUGACGCUGAGGCACGAAAGCGUGGGGAUCAAACAGG